This 206-nucleotide unclassified non-coding RNA is filed under the name plant metagenome. RNAcentral describes it as "partial contains small subunit ribosomal RNA and internal transcribed spacer 1". The stretch from base 1 to 46 matches the Rfam family "Eukaryotic small subunit ribosomal RNA", at positions 1786 to 1831 of the family's 1831-position model. The record is from RNAcentral.
AAGUCGUAACAAGGUUUCCGUAGGUGAACCUGCGGAAGGAUCAUUACAGAGUUCAUGCCCUCACGGGUAGAUCUCCCACCCUUGAAUAUUAUAUCUUAGUUGCUUUGGCAGGCCGUGGAAACACCAUGAGCUCCGGCUUAUGCGUGCCUGCCAGAGGAAACAAACUCUGUUUUUAGUGAUGUCUGAGUACUAUAUAAUAGUUAAAA